This 657-nucleotide ribosomal RNA is filed under the name Pseudoroseomonas ludipueritiae. RNAcentral describes it as "bacterial SSU rRNA". Lineage: Bacteria; Pseudomonadati; Pseudomonadota; Alphaproteobacteria; Acetobacterales; Acetobacteraceae. The record is from RNAcentral.
CACGUAGGAAUGUGUCUUGAGGUGGGGGACAACCCUGGGAAACUAGGGCUAAUACCGCAUAUGGACUGAGGUCCAAAGCCGUGAGGCGCCUUGAGAGUAGCCUGCGUCCGAUUAGCUAGUUGGUGGGGUAAAGGCCUACCAAGGCGACGAUCGGUAGCUGGUCUGAGAGGACGACCAGCCACACUGGGACUGAGACACGGCCCAGACUCCUACGGGAGGCAGCAGUGGGGAAUAUUGGACAAUGGGCGCAAGCCUGAUCCAGCAAUGCCGCGUGGGUGAAGAAGGUCUUCGGAUCGUAAAGCCCUUUCGGCGGGGACGAUGAUGACGGUACCCGCAGAAGAAGCCCCGGCUAACUUCGUGCCAGCAGCCGCGGUAAUACGAAGGGGGCUAGCGUUACUCGGAAUUACUGGGCGUAAAGGGCGCGUAGGCGGCGCACCAAGUUAGGCGUGAAAGUCCUGGGCUCAACCUGGGAACUGCGCUUGAUACUGGUGUGCUUGAGGAUGGAAGAGGGUUGUGGAAUUCCCAGUGUAGAGGUGAAAUUCGUAGAUAUUGGGAAGAACACCGGUGGCGAAGGCGGCAACCUGGUCCAUUACUGACGCUGAGGCGCGACAGCGUGGGGAGCAAACAGGAUUASAUACCCUGGUASUCCACGCCGUA